Molecule: long non-coding RNA, 3200 nt
Filed under: Sinocyclocheilus anshuiensis
Lineage: Eukaryota; Metazoa; Chordata; Actinopteri; Cypriniformes; Cyprinidae
Description: lncRNA (ENSSANG00000044981.1)
Source: RNAcentral
CUGUGCAGUAGUCGUGAACGCGCACCGCCAGACCUCCGCUGUUGCUGCGUGCGCGCCCCCGCGCUCCCUCAGGUGAAUGGAGCGAGGCACAGCACAGGAGUCCGGCGUGCGUCUCUGGCCGAGCUGAAGGGACUAAAAUGGGGCUUCGCGGACUGACCAGGGUGGGGGUGUACAUGACAGUCUGCCUUCUGUGGGUGGCUGGAUGCUUUACCCAAAAAGUUUACUUUGAUUGUGGCGCCAAGGUGGAUGUUGUGGAUGUGCAGGGCCUCAUUCUGUCACCUGGCUUCCCGUAUAACUAUUCAUCUGGAACUCACUGUGUUUGGCAGUUCUUUGUACCUGUUGGUCAUCAGCUAAUCAUGGAGAUGUUUGAUUUUGAUGUCUUUGAGAGUCACAACAGUCCUGCAAGAUAUACCACCACAUCUGUUGCCAUUGUGGAUGAGGAACCGAAAGAUGGUGGCUCGCUUGUAUCAAAAAGCCUCGGGAGUCCAAAGGAACCCCAGUCCACACACAGAGAGGAUGUCAACCAAUUGGUGAUCCAAGAGCAGUCCACCAAAAUGGAGAUGACCAAAGUUUCCAAUUCUGCCAAAAUGCUUUCUGAUUCCCCCUCAGCUCCACAAGCAUCUCUUCCAGUUGAAAACAGAAAUUCUAUUUCAUCUCAGGCAUCAAGAGCAGCCAGUGACUUUACCUCUACAAGCCCACAUACAGCCACAGAAACAGAUGACACUUUGAGCACUGAGACCCAGCCACCUUUGUUUGAUGCCUGUCCCCAUGAUGUCCUCUACAUAUCUGAUCUCAUCACCUUCUCCUCCCGAUUCUGUGGCUCUAGACGCCCUUCUAGCAGCCAGUUGGUGUUUGGGUCUGAUGAUGACAUGGUGGAGGUCAUUAUGGAGUUGAUUACCACUACUCACUGGGGCCGUGGUUUCGCUCUCCUCUUCCAUUAUCAGAAUCAAACACAGGCAGCCACAAGAGAACAGCAGAGAUCGCUAGUGACCUCGGACAGCAGAACUGGUGCACUGCUCGGUGCUAUAAGUGGAACAAUUGUGUUUGCUGUGGUCCUUGCUGGCAUCCUCUGUGUGAUUUUCAGGCCAAAACUAUGCGCAAAAGGUGCCAAUGCUUCCUCUUCCAUCAGCUCAGAGGUUCCAGAAGGAGUGCUAAAUUCAGCGGCAGAUGUGAGUGAACUUCAGAUGGUUUCUCCUAAUCACUUGGAGCAGCAGUCGAAUACAGUGAACGACAACAACAACCAUUCUCUCAACCGCAGUCUGUCCCAUACAGGGUCUUCAGUGAAUGGAGUAUGUGACGUGCCAGAGAAGGCCGCUCUAGAGCAGUUCUCCAGUGGUUUGACUGAAUUAGAAUUAGGCACAGAUGAGGUUUUUGUCAUCGCUUCUGCACCCAACUCAGCCCAACUGCCUUUCUCUCCACAUACUCAACAAGACCGUUUUCUGAGACACAGUGACACGGGACCCAGCCGCCCCUUUGACUGGCCGACUCCAGACCAAGCGCUGCCUUCUGUGACAAAGAGCAUCCAUGCCGGAUUGACAAACAGCGCACGACCACGAGCAUGGAGCGUCCGAACCUUCCAGGAUCUCCUUCCACCUCUUCCUCAACUCCAUAAGAAAUGGUGCAGCUGGAACUCAACCAGCCCAUUCACAAAGCUGGUGGACAGUGGACUCCCAAUCACAGCUACAGACUCUGGAAGGGGAAAGGUCCUAUCUGAUGCUCCUCUUCAUAGUCCUGCCAACAGCUGCCAGUCCGACUCCUUCAUGAGUAACGCCUCGUACCCCCUGACUCAACCUGCCCAGUGCCAGCGACGCCUCAACUCCACCAGCAACCUCAGACGCGCACGUUUCAACACUCCAUGCUUUGGCCUGCUCUCUGGCACGUCCGAGUCCUCCAAACCACAAGCGAAUGGAAUUACAACCUCAAACACGUUCUCCGACACCAGCGGUGCCCCAUCUAGCCAGCUGCAGGUCAAAGGUCCAAUAUCAGGCAUUGAGGAUGACCACGUCACGGUACCAGUGUUUGCAAUCUCAGAAGAGGAAGACCGACAGCCUCUUGUGUCAGCAGAACAUCCCGAGAAGCCUUUGAGGAUGAAUGGACAGAUGUUCGAAGGCACAAAGAUGCCACUGCUAUCGAAAAGCCAAGUUCCCAGCAUCCAACCAAUCUCUUUAGCGAGGGGAGGCCGUGGUGGAGCACUGGAGACGCAGGAUCCUUCAGCUCUCUCUUGUUAACAGUGACUCCAGAAAUGAAGUCUGCCAGUGCCAUGAAGUUUGAGUAUGAUGCUCAGUGACCAAUUCAGCCAAUAAAUGAUCUCAACAGGAUUGAAAACUCACAGCUUAUGAGCUGCUCCUGGUGUCUUCAUAUGGUGUGAAGCACAUGCAAUAUGCUGUGGAGUUUCAAAAGGGUUUAUGAAUAUUGGCAUGAGGGAAAAAUGUAAGCACUUAUUGUUCUUCCUGUUAUUGUAUCUGCACAGUUAAUUCGCUAAAACCUUCUAACAGUAUAUUUUAUAACCUGCAAAUGUAUGUAUAUGAUAAACCAAGAUCACUUAAUGUUUCUACUCACUACAGAGAGUUUGAGUUUGUAGACUGGGUGCAUUAUUACUUUCAUUAUGAAAUUCCAUGUAUCUGCUCUAUGAACAAUACGGCUUGUUCUAAUCCCUUUGCAACAUGUAGAAGACCAAUUAGCUGGUCUGGUAGAAAGCUGCUUGGCAUCUCUCUUGACUUCCACACGUUUUGUUUCUUGUAAUCACUAAGGGUCCAAUACACAUAUUGUACUGUUAUGUAUGAAUGGAAAUGGCAUAUAUAGUCUUAUUUCUCAAGGGACAUAAUCACUGAAAAUUUCGUUUCAACUUUCUUCUACAGUCAAGUUACUGUUUUUCACCUGUAUCACUUACUAUGUGUCUUGUGGCAAUCAUCUAUGCUGCUAAAUAUGCACUGAUGCAAUACAUGAAAUUGUGUAUACGGUCAUAUUUUUAUAACGAAUUCAAGUUCAUAUAUGCUGCAACUGUUUUCAUUAUAAUGGUGAGUUUUCCUGAAUGCAGUAAUAAUGUCAACUGUACUGACUGAUGGAUUAUAAAGGGAACUGAUCACUGUACAGACAUUUACAAUGCAGUAACUAACAUUUAAUGCAAAUAAAACCUUGUAUAGUGAUGUGUGGAGCUGUAUUUUCUUGUACAAACAUUUCAGAAUAUGCAUAGAAGGGAC